UAUAUUAAAUGCAUUAAAAAAAGGCCUCUUGCACUUUUGAUGAUUAAAGCAAAAUUGUUGGUAAAUAGAACGAUGUUCGUAAGAACUAAGUAAACUGGUGACGCUGCGGCUUACUGGAAAUAUUUUUCCGUUUUUCCUUUACGCUUUUUCCGGUUUUUUUUUAAUUAUUUUAAAAAUUCAUUGUAAAUUUAAAAAAAUGACCUUUUUUAAUGCAUCAACUAGAUCCAAAAUUCUACAAAAAAAAUCUCUUGUAAUUUUUCGGUUGGAGCAAGUUUUCUAUUUCAAUCACACAUCCGAGUAGUAAAAAGUAAAACCAAUGGGACUCAUCACGCUCCGAAUUCAAAACACCCUCCUUCAACAACCGCUUAUUUAUUUGUAUUGAAAUUCAACCCAAUUUGUAGCACUGCAAUUCAUCUCUAUAACAAUUAUAAUUUCCGACUAUGAGCUCAUUUGGUUCAGAGGGGAGCCAUAAUAUUUCUAAGGAAAUUCAACAAAAAUGAAAAUAUUAUUAUUAGUUAACAAGAACUCGAGAAAAAAUAAAUACGUAUUUUACGCCCUUAUACAUACAUUGAUUUUGAAACUUUCCGUACCUAGUAUAAACUAUAAAAUUUACGAUUUAAGUCAAAUAAAAUUGCUCGCACUUAUAACCAUCAUUCAAUACUAUACUAACUUCUACAUAAUUAUAUGAUUAUGAUUAUAGUACCUAUUUAUAAAAAAUAAACGGGUAUACUUAAAUGUUCGUAAUAAUAUCGUUAUGACGAAAAAUCCUUAAAAAUUAAAUUAUAGCAAAAUUUAAAAAUUAACCGUAGUGAAGAUUAAAAGAGCAAUUUCGUCUUUAUUGACAAAUUGUCUAAUGUAAACACAAUAUGUCCGUUUUGCAUUUAGUGGCUCAACUAUAUAGUACUUUGUGAACGAUAUACUGUAAUAUAAAUGCAAAGUAUAAAAAAAAAAAAGACGGACAUGCUUCACACGAGGGUUCAGCCACUGUUGUGGGAAGCUGGGAAGCUAAUUAAUAAUGGGUAAUUUAAUGUGAAUCUGUAAGCAACGAUGAACCAUUGCUAACGAAAAAACCGAUUCUGAACGGAAUUCAGUUGAUAGUGAUGCUUGGUUAACAAUAUAUAUUUCAUAUUGUGAUAAAAUAAUUAAACAGGGGUUAUAUAUUUUCUUUAACAAUAUUUGUUAAUUGUUGUACCGAUUUUUCCUACGUUUUUCCGGGUUUUCCCAGUUUCUAGUUUCCCAGUUUUUUCCCCAUUUGUUGAGAAAACUCCUGAGAAAAAUCGGAAAAUUACGUCUUCAAGUGCCUUCCCAGUCAGAUAUAUACCAUAAAAAUUAUUUUAAGUGAAAACAAUAAUAAUAAACGAUUAGAAAAAAAAAAAAAAUCCAACAAACUAUUUCGUGCCCGACGCGAAUUGAUCGGAACGUAACGCGCGGCUAGGCGGACGACGCCGCGAUCGCUGUUCUGUAUACGCCACACAAUCGUUAUCGUGUUUAACAAUAACGCGAGCGCCGACUCGCGACCGUGCGAACCGCGGCCGUGUCCCGGG
This is a non-coding RNA of Cinara cedri, 1544 nucleotides long. Lineage: Eukaryota; Metazoa; Arthropoda; Insecta; Hemiptera; Aphididae. The record is from the annotation of a GenBank genome assembly.